CACGAGGCAAUUUUUGUUGCAACUUCUGCCACAUAGAUUGAUGUACAGUAUAUUUAUAAUAACAUUGAUCACAUAGAAAGUAUUAACUGAGAUUCAGCGACCUUAAAUUUACUCUGAUUACGUUUUACAUAACAUUGCUAUAUAUGCCAGAAGUUGCAUUGCAAGUUGCACCAAAAAUUGCCUCAUGGCCUUAAUUAAACACUAUAUAUAUAUACAGUAGAUAUAUUAAGACUGUUUUAUCUUACCUCUUUGAUCUUUUA
Molecule: non-coding RNA, 260 nt
Organism: Paramuricea clavata
Lineage: Eukaryota; Metazoa; Cnidaria; Anthozoa; Malacalcyonacea; Plexauridae
Source: the annotation of a GenBank genome assembly